AGCCCAGAGAAAUUUGGAUUAAUACCUCAUGGUAUGUAUAGAUGGCAUCAUCAUUACAUUAAAGGUUACGGUAUAAGAUGACUAUGCGUCCUAUUAGCUAGAUGGUGUGGUAACGGCACACCAUGGCAACGAUAGGUAGGGGCCCUGAGAGGGGGAUCCCCCACACUGGUACUGAGACACGGACCAGACUCCUACGGGAGGCAGCAGUGAGGAAUAUUGGACAAUGGGGGCAACCCUGAUCCAGCCAUGCCGCGUGCAGGAAGACUGCCCUAUGGGUUGUAAACUGCUUUUAUACAGGAAGAAACAGUCCUACGUGUAGGACCUUGACGGUACUGUAAGAAUAAGGAUCGGCUAACUCCGUGCCAGCAGCCGCGGUAAUACGGAGGAUCCAAGCGUUAUCCGGAAUCAUUGGGUUUAAAGGGUCCGUAGGUGGAUAAUUAAGUCAGAGGUGAAAUCCUGCAGCUCAACUGUAGAAUUGCCUUUGAUACUGGUUAUCUUGAGUUAUUAUGAAGUAGUUAGAAUAUGUAGUGUAGCGGUGAAAUGCAUAGAUAUUACAUAGAAUACCAAUUGCGAAGGCAGAUUACUAAUAAUCAACUGACACUGAUGGACGAAAGCGUGGGGAGCGAACAGGAUUAGAUACCCUGGUAGUCCACGCCGUAAACGAUGGUCACUAGCUGUUUGGACUUCG
Molecule: ribosomal RNA, 688 nt
Filed under: uncultured Flavobacteriales bacterium
Lineage: Bacteria; Pseudomonadati; Bacteroidota; Flavobacteriia; Flavobacteriales
Description: bacterial SSU rRNA
Rfam family: Bacterial small subunit ribosomal RNA
Source: RNAcentral